AACCCGCUGCCCGGCGCGUUAGGACCUGAUUUCCCCGGGGCCGUAACUCACUGAAUGGGAGCUGUCUCUGGCGAGGGCCGUGGUCCUCAUCACGCGGCGCCCACCUGUACCUUAGGGUCCAGGGCGAACCAUCAGUCCGACGGCCGUGGCGGCGCUAAA
Molecule: non-coding RNA, 159 nt
Filed under: Parvularculaceae bacterium
Lineage: Bacteria; Pseudomonadati; Pseudomonadota; Alphaproteobacteria; Parvularculales; Parvularculaceae
Description: 6S RNA
Rfam family: 6S / SsrS RNA
About the family: E. coli 6S RNA was the first non coding RNA to be sequenced, but its function was unknown until recently.
Source: RNAcentral